UUAAGCGACUAAGCGUACACGGUGGAUGCCCUGGCAGUCAGAGGCGAUGAAGGACGUGCUAAUCUGCGAUAAGCGUCGGUAAGGUGAUAUGAACCGUUAUAACCGGCGAUUUCCGAAUGGGGAAACCCAGUGUGUUUCGACACACUAUCAUUAACUGAAUCCAUAGGUUAAUGAGGCGAACCGGGGGAACUGAAACAUCUAAGUACCCCGAGGAAAAGAAAUCAACCGAGAUUCCCCCAGUAGCGGCGAGCGAACGGGGAGCAGCCCAGAGUCUGAAUCAGCUUGUGUGUUAGUGGAACGGUCUGGAAAGUCCGACGGUACAGGGUGAUAGUCCCGUACACCAAAAUGCACAGGUUGUGAACUCGAAGAGUAGGGCGGGACACGUGGUAUCCUGUCUGAAUAUGGGGGGACCAUCCUCCAAGGCUAAAUACUCCUGACUGACCGAUAGUGAACCAGUACCGUGAGGGAAAGGCGAAAAGAACCCCGGCGAGGGGAGUGAAAAAGAACCUGAAACCGUGUACGUACAAGCAGUGGGAGCACCUUCGGGUGUGACUGCGUACCUUUUGUAUAAUGGGUCAGCGACUUAUAUUCUGUAGCAAGGUUAACCGUAUAGGGGAGCCGCAGGGAAACCGAGUCUUAACUGGGCGUUAAGUUGCAGGGUAUAGACCCGAAACCCGGUGAUCUAGCCAUGGGCAGGUUGAAGGUUGGGUAACACUAACUGGAGGACCGAACCGACUAAUGUUGAAAAAUUAGCGGAUGACUUGUGGCUGGGGGUGAAAGGCCAAUCAAACCGGGAGAUAGCUGGUUCUCCCCGAAAGCUAUUUAGGUAGCGCCUCGUGAACUCAUCUUCGGGGGUAGAGCACUGUUUCGGCUAGGGGGUCAUCCCGACUUACCAACCCGAUGCAAACUACGAAUACCGAAGAAUGUUAUCACGGGAGACACACGGCGGGUGCUAACGUCCGUCGUGAAGAGGGAAACAACCCAGACCGCCAGCUAAGGUCCCAAAGUCAUGGUUAAGUGGGAAACGAUGUGGGAAGGCACAGACAGCCAGGAUGUUGGCUUAGAAGCAGCCAUCAUUUAAAGAAAGCGUAAUAGCUCACUGGUCGAGUCGGCCUGCGCGGAAGAUGUAACGGGGCUAAACCAUGCACCGAAGCUGCGGCAGCGACACUAUGUGUUGUUGGGUAGGGGAGCGUUCUGUAAGCCUGCGAAGGUGUGCUGUGAGGCAUGCUGGAGGUAUCAGAAGUGCGAAUGCUGACAUAAGUAACGAUAAAGCGGGUGAAAAGCCCGCUCGCCGGAAGACCAAGGGUUCCUGUCCAACGUUAAUCGGGGCAGGGUGAGUCGACCCCUAAGGCGAGGCCGAAAGGCGUAGUCGAUGGGAAACAGGUUAAUAUUCCUGUACUUGGUGUUACUGCGAAGGGGGGACGGAGAAGGCUAUGUUAGCCGGGCGACGGUUGUCCCGGUUUAAGCAUGUAGGCUGGUUAUCCAGGCAAAUCCGGAUAAUCAAGGCUGAGGUGUGAUGACGAGGCACUACGGUGCUGAAGUAACAAAUGCCCUGCUUCCAGGAAAAGCCUCUAAGCAUCAGGUAACAUCAAAUCGUACCCCAAACCGACACAGGUGGUCAGGUAGAGAAUACCAAGGCGCUUGAGAGAACUCGGGUGAAGGAACUAGGCAAAAUGGUGCCGUAACUUCGGGAGAAGGCACGCUGGUGUGUAGGUGAAGUCCCUGCGGAUGGAGCUGAGACCAGUCGAAGAUACCAGCUGGCUGCAACUGUUUAUUAAAAACACAGCACUGUGCAAACACGAAAGUGGACGUAUACGGUGUGACGCCUGCCCGGUGCCGGAAGGUUAAUUGAUGGGGUUAUCCGUAAGGAGAAGCUCUUGAUCGAAGCCCCGGUAAACGGCGGCCGUAACUAUAACGGUCCUAAGGUAGCGAAAUUCCUUGUCGGGUAAGUUCCGACCUGCACGAAUGGCGUAAUGAUGGCCAGGCUGUCUCCACCCGAGACUCAGUGAAAUUGAACUCGCUGUGAAGAUGCAGUGUACCCGCGGCAAGACGGAAAGACCCCGUGAACCUUUACUAUAGCUUGACACUGAACAUUGAGCCUUGAUGUGUAGGAUAGGUGGGAGGCUUUGAAGCGUGGACGCCAGUCUGCGUGGAGCCAACCUUGAAAUACCACCCUUUAAUGUUUGAUGUUCUAACGUGGACCCGUGAUCCGGGUUGCGGACAGUGUCUGGUGGGUAGUUUGACUGGGGCGGUCUCCUCCCAAAGCGUAACGGAGGAGCACGAAGGUUAGCUAAUCCUGGUCGGACAUCAGGAGGUUAGUGCAAUGGCAUAAGCUAGCUUGACUGCGAGCGUGACGGCGCGAGCAGGUGCGAAAGCAGGUCAUAGUGAUCCGGUGGUUCUGAAUGGAAGGGCCAUCGCUCAACGGAUAAAAGGUACUCCGGGGAUAACAGGCUGAUACCGCCCAAGAGUUCAUAUCGACGGCGGUGUUUGGCACCUCGAUGUCGGCUCAUCACAUCCUGGGGCUGAAGUAGGUCCCAAGGGUAUGGCUGUUCGCCAUUUAAAGUGGUACGCGAGCUGGGUUUAGAACGUCGUGAGACAGUUCGGUCCCUAUCUGCCGUGGGCGCUGGAGAAUUGAGGGGGGCUGCUCCUAGUACGAGAGGACCGGAGUGGACGCAUCACUGGUGUUCGGGUUGUCAUGCCAAUGGCACUGCCCGGUAGCUAAAUGCGGAAGAGAUAAGUGCUGAAAGCAUCUAAGCACGAAACUUGCCCCGAGAUGAGUUCUCCCUGACCCUUUAAGGGUCCUGAAGGAACGUUGAAGACGACGACGUUGAUAGGCCGGGUGUGUAAGCGCAGCGAUGCGUUGAGCUAACCGGUACUAAUGAACCGUGAGGCUUAACCUU
This 2900-nucleotide ribosomal RNA is filed under the name human gut metagenome. RNAcentral describes it as "bacterial LSU rRNA". It matches the Rfam family "Bacterial large subunit ribosomal RNA". The record is from RNAcentral.